UCUCCAUGUAGGAGGGAGUAUGGUGUUUC
This 29-nucleotide non-coding RNA is filed under the name Homo sapiens (human). The record is from RNAcentral. Lineage: Eukaryota; Metazoa; Chordata; Mammalia; Primates; Hominidae.